AUACGGAGGGUGCAAGCGUUAAUCGGAAUUACUGGGCGUAAAGCGCGCGUAGGCGGCUGAUUAAGUCGGAUGUGAAAUCCCUGGGCUCAACCUAGGAACUGCAUCCGGUACUGGUCAGCUAGAGUUUUGGAGAGGUAAGUGGAAUUUCCGGUGUAGCGGUGAAAUGCAUAGAGAUCGGAAGGAACACCAGUGGCGAAGGCGACUUACUGGCCAAAAACUGACGCUGAGGUGCGAAAGCGUGGGUAGCGAACAGGAUUAGAAACCCUAGUAGUCC
Molecule: ribosomal RNA, 274 nt
Filed under: uncultured bacterium
Lineage: Bacteria
Description: partial 16S ribosomal RNA
Rfam family: Bacterial small subunit ribosomal RNA
Source: RNAcentral